GGCGCGGCCCGGCCGCCACAGACGAGACGCGCAGAGAGCAGGGACACACUUUAUUAGCUACAGGGGCGCCCGAGGGGCAGGGCAGCGGCCCCGGGGGCGGGGAAGCGCUACAGCAGCCUGCGGAGCUCCUCGAAGUUGAGCAGGUUGUUGGCUGUCUCUGACCAGGCCGGGUGCGUCGCCCCAUCCAUCUCGGGAGCCAGGCUGUUGGUGCUGUCCAGAGCGUGGACAGAUGGAUGGUUUUCCAGUUCCUGGUAUAUAUGGGGACUGAGAAGCUGGGCAAUUUCAGGACGCAUGCGGUGCUGAAACACAAAGCAGCUCUGUAACAGUCUUGAGGAAGAAGCACCAUAUUUCCCUGCCAAGAAUCUGUUGUUUCACUGUAAAUACACUGGCCAAAUACAAGACAAGGGUGACUGCAGUAAGAAUGAAGAUGGCAACCCACCCACCAACUAGGCCAGAAAGCAGAAUUAAAGAAGACCAGAGAAUUUUCCUACACUGGGCAAGAUUUCCUCCAGAAUUAGCUAUCCUUCAAGUAAUCAAAAAGUAGCAGCUGCUGGCUCAGACUUUCUUCAAGUAGCACAGGUAAAACACAGACCUUCUGGACAAUGCCAGACCCCUUACAGUAUCAGAAGGCAUACACUAUAUAGUCUUUAUCAAGCCCUCAACUGGAUACUCAGAGCAGCAUUGGACACUAGCAGAAUAAAUUAGCAAA
Long non-coding RNA from Rhea pennata, 709 nucleotides. RefSeq lists it as uncharacterized. The transcript has 3 exons. The record is from RefSeq and is a predicted model, not a curated record. NCBI's taxonomy places the organism in Eukaryota, Metazoa, Chordata, Aves, Rheiformes, Rheidae.